This 330-nucleotide long non-coding RNA is filed under the name Manihot esculenta (cassava). RNAcentral's name for it is "long non-coding RNA (MESC_LNC004679)". The record is from RNAcentral. Lineage: Eukaryota; Viridiplantae; Streptophyta; Magnoliopsida; Malpighiales; Euphorbiaceae.
GAAAAAGCUUAAACCUAGAAGAGAACAUUUCUCCUUUUAUAGGUUUCCUUUUGUCCGCUAGUGACGUGCCGAUAGAACGAAUAUCAGUAGACCACCUGUCCCUGCCACGCUGAUACGGACGUACGAAGGAAUCAGAUCUCUGCCCCAUGCAUAACGGCCUCUGAUCCUCUCCAGGAUCGGGUAGGCGGGUCUACAAGAUGAGUGGACGGAUCCUCUUUCGGGUUUUGGGCUGGGCCGGAGAGUGAGAGUAGAGCAGGGUCUAAAUGGAAUCGGCCUAAGGAGUAGAGGUGGCGUGUCCGGCCUGAUGAGGGGAGCCGGAUGAACCUGGUC